UGAGGAAUAUUGGACAAUGGGGGCAACCCUGAUCCAGCCAUGCCGCGUGAGUGAUGACGGCCUUAGGGUUGUAAAGCUCUUUCAGUAGUGAAGAUAAUGACGGUAACUACAGAAGAAGCCCCGGCUAACUUCGUGCCAGCAGCCGCGGUAAUACGAAGGGGGCUAGCGUUGUUCGGAAUCACUGGGCGUAAAGCGCACGUAGGCGGACUUUUAAGUCAGGGGUGAAAUCCCGAGGCUCAACCUCGGAACUGCCUUUGAUACUGGAAGUCUUGAGUACGAGAGAGGUGAGUGGAAUACCGAGUGUAGAGGUGAAAUUCGUAGAUAUUCGGUGGAACACCAGUGGCGAAGGCGGCUCACUGGCUCGAUACUGACGCUGAGGUGCGAAAGCGUGGGGAGCAAACAGGAUUAGAUACCCCCGUAGUCC
RNAcentral lists this ribosomal RNA (424 nucleotides) under uncultured prokaryote. RNAcentral describes it as "bacterial SSU rRNA". It matches the Rfam family "Bacterial small subunit ribosomal RNA", at positions 355 to 796 of the family's 1533-position model. The record is from RNAcentral.